CCUACGGGGGGCAGCAGUGGGGAAUAUUGGACAAUGGGGGCAACCCUGAUCCAGCCAUGCCGCGUGUGUGAAGAAGGCCCUUGGGUUGUAAAGCACUUUCAGUGAGGAAGAACGCCUGGUGGUUAAUACCCAUCAGGAAAGACAUCACUCACAGAAGAAGCACCGGCUAACUCCGUGCCAGCAGCCGCGGUAAUACGGAGGGUGCGAGCGUUAAUCGGAAUUACUGGGCGUAAAGCGCGCGUAGGUGGCUUGAUAAGCCGGUUGUGAAAGCCCCGGGCUCAACCUGGGAACGGCAUCCGGAACUGUCAAGCUAGAGUGCAGGAGAGGAAGGUAGAAUUCCCGGUGUAGCGGUGAAAUGCGUAGAGAUCGGGAGGAAUACCAGUGGCGAAGGCGGCCUUCUGGACUGACACUGACACUGAGGUGCGAAAGCGUGGGUAGCAAACAGGAUUAGAUACCCGAGUAGUC
RNAcentral lists this ribosomal RNA (465 nucleotides) under Vreelandella stevensii. RNAcentral describes it as "partial 16S ribosomal RNA". It matches the Rfam family "Bacterial small subunit ribosomal RNA", at positions 338 to 795 of the family's 1533-position model. Lineage: Bacteria; Pseudomonadati; Pseudomonadota; Gammaproteobacteria; Oceanospirillales; Halomonadaceae. The record is from RNAcentral.